UGUUGUUUACUUCAGGGCUAGUUGGGGUAAUAGGACUUAGGCUUUCCAAAAACUAUACUGUAAAUUUUUUUUACAUGUAAAAUUUGUCCUAUAGAGGGGACUUUGAGAGAAUAAUCAUACUGUAAAUUUUUUUUACAUGUAAAAAUUGUCCUAUAAAGGGGACUUAUAGGUGGAAUCAUUAUACUGUGGCUUACUUCAGGGCUAGUUGAUAGAGAUGUUGCAGCCAAGGACCAUAUUUUUGUGUUACACUUUCAGCUUCCCAGCUAUUAUAUCAUCUUCAACACAAGGAGAAAGUCCCCG
This 300-nucleotide unclassified non-coding RNA is filed under the name Puccinia pascua. The record is from RNAcentral. Lineage: Eukaryota; Fungi; Basidiomycota; Pucciniomycetes; Pucciniales; Pucciniaceae.